RNAcentral lists this ribosomal RNA (70 nucleotides) under Lysinibacillus halotolerans. Its description in RNAcentral is "partial 16S ribosomal RNA". It matches the Rfam family "Bacterial small subunit ribosomal RNA", at positions 1 to 65 of the family's 1533-position model. The record is from RNAcentral. Lineage: Bacteria; Bacillati; Bacillota; Bacilli; Caryophanales; Bacillaceae.
UUUCUUUUAUGGAGAGUUUGAUCCUGGCUCAGGACGAACGCUGGCGGCGUGCCUAAUACAUGCAAGUCGA